UAAGUGUCACAUUAGACUUCUAAUCUAUACAAAGCUUUAUGCUACACUUUU
RNAcentral lists this transfer RNA (51 nucleotides) under Stygobromus allegheniensis. Its description in RNAcentral is "tRNA-Ser". Lineage: Eukaryota; Metazoa; Arthropoda; Malacostraca; Amphipoda; Crangonyctidae. The record is from RNAcentral.